This 253-nucleotide ribosomal RNA is filed under the name uncultured bacterium. RNAcentral describes it as "partial 16S ribosomal RNA". It matches the Rfam family "Bacterial small subunit ribosomal RNA", at positions 524 to 776 of the family's 1533-position model. The record is from RNAcentral.
UACGAAGGGGGCUAGCGUUGUUCGGAAUCACUGGGCGUAAAGGGUGUGCAGGCUGCCCCUCAAGUGGUGUAUGAAAGGGCUCGGCUCAACCGGGCUAGGUUAUGCCAGACUGAGGGGCUAGAGAGCGAGAGCGGGACGUGGAAUUCCGGGUGUAGUGGUGAAAUGCGUAGAGAUCCGGAGGAACCCCAGAGGCGAAGGCGGCGUCCUGGCUCGCAUCUGACGCUCAGACACGACAGCAUGGGGAGCGAACGGG